UGAGGAACAUGACCUUCGGCGGGGGAUAGCCGGCCCAACGGCCGGGUAAUACCGCGUACGACCACUUUGGGACAUCCCUCGGUGGUGAAAGCAGCAAUGCGCCGAUGGAGUGCCUCGCGGCCUAUCAGCUAGUUGGUGAGGUAACGGCUCACCAAGGCGACGGCGGGUAGCUGGUCUGAGAGGAUGGCCAGCCACAGUUGGGACUGAGACACCGGCCCAGACCUCCGUACGGGAGCAG
RNAcentral lists this ribosomal RNA (238 nucleotides) under uncultured bacterium. Its description in RNAcentral is "partial 16S ribosomal RNA". It matches the Rfam family "Bacterial small subunit ribosomal RNA", at positions 118 to 347 of the family's 1533-position model. The record is from RNAcentral.